UACGAGUGCCCAAGCGUUAUCCGGAAUUAUUGGGCGUAAAGGGUGUGUAGGUGGUCUUGUUAGUCUUCUGUGAAAUUCUUCGGCUUAACCGGGGGUCCGCAGGGGAAACGGCAGGACUAGAGGAUGCGAGAGGUGUGCGGAACUCAUGGUGUAGGGGUGAAAUCCGUUGAUAUCAUGGGGAACACCGAAAGCGAAGGCAGCACACUGGCGCACUCCUGACACUGAAACACGAAAAGCGUGGGUAGCGAAUGGG
This 253-nucleotide ribosomal RNA is filed under the name uncultured bacterium. RNAcentral's name for it is "partial 16S ribosomal RNA". It matches the Rfam family "Bacterial small subunit ribosomal RNA", at positions 524 to 776 of the family's 1533-position model. The record is from RNAcentral.